GGUUAGGUUUGGGGGUAGGUUUUAGGCCCACUGGAUGUCUGGUGCCCAAUUUGGAGAUCCAAAGGAGCUCCGCCCGGUGGCGUUGGGCGAGGCUCCAUUUGGGAUCCGUCUCUACGACAGUCGCCCGGACGGAAGACCACCCGUGUCGGAGAAAAUGCUGAACCAGACUAUGAAGGGCCUCGACUUCUCCGCGUGUCAAAUUGGGAGCGACCGCCGGUGCGCAACCCGAACCGGACAUGGAGAGCCCGUCGGACCGGACCAUAGCCUGGAAUUCCGGAGGCAUAAGUCCAGG
This is a non-coding RNA of Nerophis lumbriciformis (worm pipefish), 292 nucleotides long. NCBI's taxonomy places the organism in Eukaryota, Metazoa, Chordata, Actinopteri, Syngnathiformes, Syngnathidae. The record is from RefSeq and is a predicted model, not a curated record.